Molecule: long non-coding RNA, 635 nt
Organism: Acanthopagrus latus (yellowfin seabream)
Lineage: Eukaryota; Metazoa; Chordata; Actinopteri; Spariformes; Sparidae
Exons: 3
Source: RefSeq, a predicted model, not a curated record
GGGCUAUUGAAUGAUAACAGUGCAGUCUUCAGACACGCCUCCUACCAUUCAGCCGCACAUCGAAUUAGCCGGGUUUGACUCCUGGAAAUCUGGGCCUGACGUCGCUGAUGGAACCACUUAUGCUGCAUGGCUGAACGAGACAGCCAUGCAAUGUGACCACAGAUUGAUAGUCGACUGAGAGAACAGGAGAAGGGGAGACGAGAAGUGGUGCCUCCGAACCAGAGGGGGCACUCCACCAUGCAGCCAUCCCCCUGUUUCUUCCCCAGAGGCCUCCUCCAACCCAGAGGAGCCAAUGGAGUUAAGACGACCCAGGUUCUUUCAGACUAGUGGCAACCUAAGGUUGGUGCAUUUGUUGUGGGGGAAGCCUUACUCCUGACCUCCACACAGCCACUGUCAGCCAGAGGCCCAGGAGUUCCCCUUCACGCACUGCACUGCACUGUGUGCUGGGCUGUAGGUAGCUGGGAGCUGUGGUGGGGAAUAUGUUCACCCCUAACCAGCAAUAUUUACUCAAAGUAUUAAAAGUUCUCACUGUGCAGUGAAAUGUUCCCUGUCAGUAUUUUACUACUAUGCAUGCUGCACUGAUGUGUAUGUUGCAUUUAACUGCUGCAGAUAAAAAAGGCUGUGCUAAACUCUUC